Long non-coding RNA from Drosophila miranda, 726 nucleotides. RefSeq lists it as uncharacterized. The transcript is spliced from 2 exons. Lineage: Eukaryota; Metazoa; Arthropoda; Insecta; Diptera; Drosophilidae. The record is from RefSeq and is a predicted model, not a curated record.
CAUAAAGUAGAGCCUCGAUCCUUGCCGUUGUCCUUGCCCGAUCGUCUUCAGGUUUAGAAAGAGGUUCGAUUCGGCGUUACCUCUCAGAGGGCAUCCUCGCCAUAGGGAGCUCCGAAUCCACCCACUCUUAGGUGCAAAAGUGGUCCAUCAUUCGGGGGAAGAGAGAACUUCUGUCAAGAGUCGAUUCAGAUUUCAUCAAGGGUGUCUGGAGCGAUGUGAACGCUUUCAGCGAUAUCCAAGGAGUACCAGAGUCCACAGCUCGCAGACCGUUAUUUGCGUAUGGCACAAAGAUAUUUGGUAACAACUUUUUAAAAUUUCUUAUUUUUAAUAUACAUACAUCAAUUUAUUGAGGCCGUUACGUGUUUUAUUUUGUAUGGCGAUUAAUUUAUUAUAACUCCAUUCCUGGUUUGAUUAAUGUUGAGUUAAGCUAGUAAACAGAUAUCGUAAUUAUUUUUCCUAUUUACGUGGGCCUGACGAUCUGCUUUACUAAGUAUAGCAUGCGAUUUAACAAUUUUUGCGUCACGGCCGCACACAAGAAAAAUAAUGGGUACAUGCGUGAAUCUUUAGUUUACGUACAUUUAUUUGUAUGUAUUGGAAACGUAACUAAAAUAUGAGGCCCUUAAUUUCUAUUGUUGAACAUUUUAUUAUAGUAUUUACGGCCAUCUCCAAUUUUUAUUCCAGGUCAUCAAUUCCAGCUCCCGAUGAGCUGUCUAGCAUUUUGCUGUC